CCCCACUGUUCGAUGGAUUACUCACUCAUUAGGAUUAGUAUUUUAUUAUGUGCUUUCUUUUUUUUUCUUCGACAGGUUUAAGGCAUUCUAGCUUGGCAUAGCAAUUGCAUCUUCAAUACUUAUUUUUAGCAGAGGUUGGUCAUAUCAGCUUAUGGGGGGAGUAUUCAUUUUGAUCAGAUCAGUUUGGGGAAGGGUAUCUUUUUCCUUGACCAUGCUAGUUAGUGUAAGGAGCUCAUUUUGGGAGAUUUUUAUUUUUGUGAUGUUGUACUCUAUGUUGGGUUAUGUUUUGGACGAAGUUUGUUUAGGCUAAAAAAAAGUAAGAUUGAAAUGUAUCGUAA
RNAcentral lists this long non-coding RNA (338 nucleotides) under Elaeis guineensis (African oil palm). Its description in RNAcentral is "long non-coding RNA (EGUI_LNC024291)". The record is from RNAcentral. Lineage: Eukaryota; Viridiplantae; Streptophyta; Magnoliopsida; Arecales; Arecaceae.